CAACUUUCCCAUGGGGCCGAGAAUCUAGUCAAACUUGGUCAUUUAGAGGUCGUAAAAGUCGUAACAAGGUUUCCGUAGGUGAACCUGCGGAAGGAUCAUUACUGUGAUUUAGUACUACACUGCGUGAGCGGAACGAAAACAACAACACCUAAAAUGUGGAAUAUAGCAUAUAGUCGACAAGAGAAAUCUACGAAAAACAAACAAAACUUUCAACAACGGAUCUCUUGGUUCUCGCAUCGAUGAAGAGCGCAGCGAAAUGCGAUACCUAGUGUGAAUUGCAGCCAUCGUGAAUCAUCGAGUUCUUGAACGCACAUUGCGCCCCUCGGCAUUCCGGGGGGCAUGCCUGUUUGAGCGUCGUUUCCAUCUUGCGCGUGCGCAGAGUUGGGGGAGCGGAGCGGACGACGUGUAAAGAGCGUCGGAGCUGCGACUCGCCUGAAAGGGAGCGAAGCUGGCCGAGCGAACUAGACUUUUUUUCAGGGACGCUUGGCGGCCGAGAGCGAGUGUUGCGAGACAACAAAAAGCUCGACCUCAAAUCAGGUAGGAAUACCCGCUGAACUUAAGCAUAUCAAUAAGCGGAGGAAAAGAAACCAACAGGGAUUGCCUCAGUAGCGGCGAGUGAAGCGGCAAGAGCUCAGAUUUGAAAUCGUGCUUUGCGGCACGAGUUGUAGAUUGCAGGUUGGAGUCUGUGUGGAAGGCGGUGUCCAAGUCCCUUGGAACAGGGCGCCCAGGAGGGUGAGAGCCCCGUGGGAUGCCGGCGGAAGCAGUGAGGCCCUUCUGACGAGUCGAGUUGUUUGGGAAUGCAGCUCCAAGCGGGUGGUAAAUUCCAUCUAAGGCUAAAUACUGGCGAGAGACCGAUAGCGAACAAGUACUGUGAAGGAAAGAUGAAAAGCACUUUGAAAAGAGAGUGAAACAGCACGUGAAAUUGUUGAAAGGGAAGGGUAUUGCGCCCGACAUGGGGAUUGCGCACCGCUGCCUCUCGUGGGCGGCGCUCUGGGCUUUCCCUGGGCCAGCAUCGGUUCUUGCUGCAGGAGAAGGGGUUCUGGAACGUGGCUCUUCGGAGUGUUAUAGCCAGGGCCAGAUGC
RNAcentral lists this ribosomal RNA (1082 nucleotides) under Pichia kudriavzevii. RNAcentral describes it as "eukaryotic LSU rRNA". The stretch from base 524 to 1082 matches the Rfam family "Eukaryotic large subunit ribosomal RNA", at positions 1 to 571 of the family's 3401-position model. The record is from RNAcentral. Lineage: Eukaryota; Fungi; Ascomycota; Pichiomycetes; Pichiales; Pichiaceae.